AUUGAACGCUGGCGGCAUGUCUUACACAUGCAAGUCGAACGGUAACAGGUCUUCGGAUGCUGACGAGUGGCGAACGGGUGAGUAAUACAUCGGAACGUGCCCGAGAGUGGGGGAUAACGAAGCGAAAGCUUUGCUAAUACCGCAUACGAUCUCAGGAUGAAAGCAGGGGACCGCAAGGCCUUGCGCUCACGGAGCGGCCGAUGGCAGAUUAGGUAGUUGGUGGGAUAAAAGCUUACCAAGCCGACGAUCUGUAGCUGGUCUGAGAGGACGACCAGCCACACUGGGACUGAGACACGGCCCAGACUCCUACGGGAGGCAGCAGUGGGGAAUUUUGGACAAUGGGCGCGAGCCUGAUCCAGCCAUGCCGCGUGCAGGAUGAAGGCCUUCGGGUUGUAAACUGCUUUUGUACGGAACGAAAAGACUCUGGUUAAUACCUGGGGUCCAUGACGGUACCGUAAGAAUAAGCACCGGCUAACUACGUGCCAGCAGCCGCCGUAA
Molecule: ribosomal RNA, 498 nt
Filed under: uncultured bacterium
Lineage: Bacteria
Description: partial 16S ribosomal RNA
Rfam family: Bacterial small subunit ribosomal RNA
Source: RNAcentral